Molecule: non-coding RNA, 442 nt
Organism: Salmo salar (Atlantic salmon)
Lineage: Eukaryota; Metazoa; Chordata; Actinopteri; Salmoniformes; Salmonidae
Source: RefSeq, a predicted model, not a curated record
AGUUUUCUCUUCCACAAUGGCUAGCUAAUGCUAACAACAAUGUAGUGGAUUUUUUUGUUGAAGAACCCCUUUCAUUGCCCACAUCAGAUUCAAGCUUCUUGGAAAAUGGACAAAGUUCUGCGUAUUUAAACUGCGCAACACAACGAGAAGCUAAGUCCCUUCCUGUUCCCUGAUUAAGAGGUGAUGACUACUCCACUACCAUCGUCAACUCUCUGCUGACAUGAACUGAAGCCACGUGUCAUGUGCCCUCUCAUCCACUGGCACAUUGAAUGUUUCCUCUCCAAGCACUUCAAAUCCUGUCCUGGUAUCAGUGGAAAAGUUGAGCUCUUCUCCAACACCAUCCAUCCAUGAUGAGCCAGUCCUGCACUGAAGCCUCUGAACACCUCAACCCCUGUCCGGCACUGAGGCCUCUGAACACCUCAACCCCUGUCCUGCACUGAAG